CUAUGGCUUAGUUUAGUCAUGGCGGAAGGAG
RNAcentral lists this non-coding RNA (31 nucleotides) under unclassified sequences. RNAcentral's name for it is "L31-Firmicutes ribosomal protein leader". It matches the Rfam family "L31-Firmicutes ribosomal protein leader". The record is from RNAcentral.